Long non-coding RNA from Syngnathus acus (greater pipefish), 607 nucleotides. RefSeq lists it as uncharacterized. The transcript has 2 exons. Lineage: Eukaryota; Metazoa; Chordata; Actinopteri; Syngnathiformes; Syngnathidae. The record is from RefSeq and is a predicted model, not a curated record.
CGUCCAGGAUCAGGGGUACUCCGGGGAGGCAGAUCGGGGGCUCGUCCGGGCACUGGCAUCUCUGCGUACACGCUUGGGACCAGGCUAACGGCCGAGGAGGGGAGGACUUUAUAUAGAGGAGCUAUCCCAUGGCCACCAUGACGACCAAUCGCAAAGAAUGUGUGCCAGAACACCCAAAGUGUUUGAGGAGGGACUUUUUUUUCUUUUUUAUUUGGACAUUCUGCCAAGAGAUUCCUCACAGGUCCACUUACACCCUAAAAUCCAAACAAGUGCGGAAGACUGUUUUAGUGUAUUGCAUUAAAUUGAAAACUGAACACUGUAAUAGCUGACGAGCAGUUAAAACAUGCUAGCUAAAAAUACAGCGACACAGACACAGUGAUUUAAACUGGGAAAAAGAAAAUCCAUGUAUUUUCUACUGUAUGCCCUCGACAACACAUUGUGUUGUACUAGUUUAAACAUAUAUUAACAAUAAUUCUAAAUGUUAAUUGUGCGCUUUAAACUUUUAUUUCACUGGAACUAUAUUAAUUAAAUCUACAUAUUAAUUCCCAUCUCCCUCACAGUUUUCUCUGUGCUUUUAUUUGUUUUCUCUUGUUCCACCAGUUUCAUU